AUAAUUUCCCUCUAGACCUAGCUGCUAUAGAAGCUCCAUCUAUCGAUGGAUAAGACCAGGGUCUUAGUGUAUAGGAGUUAUUGAAAAAUAAAGGAGCAAUAAUCACCUUCUUGUUCUAUCAAGAGGGUGGUAUUGCUCCUUUAUUUUCGUUUUAUUUAUUCUAGUUAAAUUUUUAUUCUUUUCUUUGCAUUACAGAUAAAGCAAAGCACUCUUAUGAGGUUCGUUCGUGAUUGAGUAUCAUACUUUUCUUUUUUAAUUUAAUUUUCUAUUAUCAAAGAUUCAAAUAUCUCAUAAAUAGAAAUAAAAACUAGAAAUGAUAAUAAGAAAUAAAAUGGUUGGAACUAAAUUCUAAAAUGAAAUAUUUAAUAGUCUAAAUAAAUUAUAAAAUUAUAAUAGGAAAUAAAUCUAAGAACUAAAUAGAAAUAGAGGGAAGGGGUGAAGGGGGCGGAUGUAGCCAAGUGGAUCAAGGCAGU
Molecule: unclassified non-coding RNA, 473 nt
Filed under: Melodinus acutiflorus
Lineage: Eukaryota; Viridiplantae; Streptophyta; Magnoliopsida; Gentianales; Apocynaceae
Description: partial miscellaneous RNA
Source: RNAcentral